CCGCGGUAAUACGAAGGGUGCAAGCGUUACUCGGAAUUACUGGGCAUAAAGCGUGCGUAGGUGGUUUGUUAAGUCUGAUGUGAAAGCCCCGGGCUCAACCUGGGAACUGCGUUUGGUACUGGCAAGCUAGAGUACGGCAGAGGGGGGUGGAAUUCCACGUGUAGCAGUGAAAUGCGUAGAGAUGUGGAGGAACACCGAUGGCGAAGGCAGCCCCCUGGGCCGAUACUGACGCUCAGGCACGAAAGCGUGGGGAGCAAACAGG
RNAcentral lists this ribosomal RNA (262 nucleotides) under uncultured bacterium. RNAcentral's name for it is "partial 16S ribosomal RNA". It matches the Rfam family "Bacterial small subunit ribosomal RNA", at positions 515 to 776 of the family's 1533-position model. The record is from RNAcentral.